This 76-nucleotide transfer RNA is filed under the name Oligoflexia bacterium. RNAcentral's name for it is "tRNA-Lys". It matches the Rfam family "tRNA". From Rfam's summary of the family: Transfer RNA (tRNA) molecules are approximately 80 nucleotides in length. Lineage: Bacteria; Pseudomonadati; Bdellovibrionota; Oligoflexia. The record is from RNAcentral.
GAGACCAUAGCUCAGUCGGUAGAGCAUCUCACUUUUAAUGAGAGGGUCGAUGGUUCGAACCCAUCUGGUCUCACCA